GUGCUCACCUUGGUAGCAUGCAUACUGCCAAAACUGAGAAGAUGCAGAGAAGAUUAGCAUGGUCCCUGCGCACCAAUGACAUGGAAAGGUGCCAUAAUUGG
This 101-nucleotide small nuclear RNA is filed under the name Loxodonta africana (African savanna elephant). Lineage: Eukaryota; Metazoa; Chordata; Mammalia; Proboscidea; Elephantidae. The record is from RNAcentral.